CGCGAUAUGCAGCCAGGGAGAAUAACAUUCUCUCGAAUUUUUAAAGGUUGAGCGGAAAGACGAUGUGUUUUGUUAUGUCAUGGACUGUUAUUGCCUUGGGAGUCCAAAGAAGUGGAUGGAUUCCUGGGCGAUUCAGCGACAAUGUCAACGGGACUGACUGAGCUCGAGGAAGCAUCUUUGCACGUCACGCACCGUUGUUCAAGCAGCAUCAACCGCGAAAUGAACAUUCUGGUGUAUUGUGAACAUUUAAUGCUGUAGGUGUAACUUAUUUUAGACACCGCCAAAUAAUUGGUGCAGUAGACUAUAUUGCAAGUGAAGUCUCUAAAGACAUUGUUGGUGGUGCACAAAUAUGCUCUAAAAACAACCGGAAGAAGUGAAGGUGACAGUCGACUAUCAACAUGGGGAUUUAUGAGUUAAUCAUUUAAUUAACAUACAGGCUACAGCGGAAUAACUUUAUUUUAGAGACGUAAAAGCCCGAAGACCCUGCUCGUUUCAGAUGCUACGGGACAUCCUGGCAUUUGGUGGUUUUCAAGCGGUUCCUCAACGUGACACCACACGCGCACUGUGAGCUUUGGCUCGAAGUGAGCAACGCCGCCGUCUCGGCUGUGUUAUUUGAGUGAGAACCGGACAGCCAGUGGAUGCCGCAGAGUUGUUUGGGUCGAAACCGAAACAAGUGAAGGGUCAGGGGGCUGUUUUGGGGAAUUCCCCAUCCGACUGCGCCUUAUUACAACAUGGAUGACUCGGGGAUAAUUCGGCGUCGGAGGCUGCAGGAUCUGCCACUGCCCCGCAAGAACAGCAGGUUAGUACAUCUUCCCUCCCUCCUGGCCAACUGGGCACUCCCUAUGAACCCCCCCCCCCCCCCCCCCCCCCCCCCCCCCCCCCCCCGAGCAUGGGGAAGUGUGUGUUUGGAAACAACAACUCUUUUAUCAGCCGAGGGCUCUACUGUCCUGGUUGGAAGAUUUCAUCCAUGUUGAAUCCCUGUUAAGACAUGAUUAGCAUUUCAACACCCUAUUGUGGGUUUGAGGAUACUUGAGAGGUAC
RNAcentral lists this long non-coding RNA (1040 nucleotides) under Oncorhynchus mykiss (rainbow trout). RNAcentral's name for it is "lncRNA (ENSOMYG00000064168.1)". Lineage: Eukaryota; Metazoa; Chordata; Actinopteri; Salmoniformes; Salmonidae. The record is from RNAcentral.